GCUUGCGGAUCUCUUCGGAGUGACGCGAGUGGAACGAGCGGCGGACGGGUGAGUAACACGUGGGCAACCUGCCUGUAAGACGGGGAUAACUCCGGGAAACCGGGGCUAAUACCGGAUAGAACCUAUUCUCGCAUGAGAAAAGGUGGAAAGAUGGCUUCGGCUAUCACUUACAGAUGGGCCCGCGGCGCAUUAGCUAGUUGGUGAGGUAACGGCUCACCAAGGCAACGAUGCGUAGCCGACCUGAGAGGGUGAUCGGCCACACUGGGACUGAGACACGGCCCAGACUCCUACGGGAGGCAGCAGUAGGGAAUCUUCCGCAAUGGACGAAAGUCUGACGGAGCAACGCCGCGUGAACGAAGAAGGUUUUCGGAUCGUAAAGUUCUGUUGUUAGGGAAGAACAAGUACCGUUCAAAUAGGGCGGUACCUUGACGGUACCUAUCGAGGAAGCCCCGGCUAACUACGUGCCAGCAGCCGCGGUAAUACGUAGGGGGCAAGCGUUGUCCGGAAUUAUUGGGCGUAAAGCGCGCGUAGGCGGUUUCUUAAGUCUGAUGUGAAAUCUUGCGGCUCAACCGCAAGCGGUCAUUGGAAACUGGGGAACUUGAGUGCAGAAGAGGAGAGUGGAAUUCCACGUGUAGCGGUGAAAUGCGUAGAGAUGUGGAGGAACACCAGUGGCGAAGGCGACUCUCUGGUCUGUAACUGACGCUGAGGUGCGAAAGCGUGGGGAGCGAACAGGAUUAGAUACCCUGGUAGUCCACGCCGUAAACGAUGAGUGCUAGGUGUUAGGGGGUUUCCGCCCCUUAGUGCUGCAGUUAACGCAU
RNAcentral lists this ribosomal RNA (818 nucleotides) under Gracilibacillus ureilyticus. Its description in RNAcentral is "bacterial SSU rRNA". It matches the Rfam family "Bacterial small subunit ribosomal RNA", at positions 66 to 860 of the family's 1533-position model. The record is from RNAcentral. Lineage: Bacteria; Bacillati; Bacillota; Bacilli; Caryophanales; Bacillaceae.